ACGCUCACUUCAGAAACACGUAUACUAAGAUUGGAUCAAUGCAGAGAUUAGCAUGGCCCCUGCACAAGGAUGGCACACAAAUUUAUGAAACAUUCCGUAGUUCA
Small nuclear RNA from Meriones unguiculatus (Mongolian gerbil), 104 nucleotides. The record is from Ensembl. NCBI's taxonomy places the organism in Eukaryota, Metazoa, Chordata, Mammalia, Rodentia, Muridae.